CGAGGAAAACGCGGGGUGACCAGAUAGCCGGGCCACCACGUCUGAAAGCCCAUGUGCCGAGGGCAGUUGCAACCUCGCUAGCUGCUACCGCUUGCCAGUUGCCGUUCUCCCGUGCGAGGACAAGGCAGUACAGUACAAUGGCUGUGCGGCUCUGCUGCUGCUGCUUCCUCCUCUUCGUCACCAUCGCUGCCGCCGGUGGCUCCCUGACGCGGACGAACGUCGCGACGCUGCCGGGGUUCGACGGCGCGCUGCCUUCACGCCUCGAGACCGGGUACGUGACGGUCGACGAGGAGAACGGCGCCGAGCUGUUCUACUACUUCAUCGAGUCGGAGGGCGACCCCAGCACCGACCCCGUCCUCCUCUGGAUCACCGGCGGCGACCGCUGCUCCGUCCUCAGCGCCCUCUUCUUCGAGAUUGGGCCGUUGAAGCUGGUCAUCGAGCCCUACAACGGCAGCUUGCCGCGGCUGCACUACCACCCUUACUCGUGGACAAAGGUCGCCAGCAUCCUCUUCGUCGACUCGCCGGUCGGCGCCGGCUUCUCCUUCUCAAGGGACCCUAAGGGGUACGACGUCGGCGACGUCUCUGCUUCGAUGCAGCUCAUCAAGCUUCUCAGGGAGUGGUUCACUGAGUAUCCGCACUACCUCUCAAAUCCGUUCUACGUUGGAGGAGACUCCUAUGCCGGAAAGAUCGUCCCGUUUAUCGUGCAGAAGAUCUCGGAAGAUAUUGAAGCUGGCGUCAGACCGACGUUUAAUCUGAAGGGCUAUCUGGUAGGUAAUCCGAGUACAGGGGAACGCAUUGACCUCGAAUCAAGAGUGCCGUACAGCCAUGGAGUCGGAAUCAUUUCAGAUCAGUUAUAUGAGAUGAUAAUGGAGCACUGCGAAGGUGAGGAUUAUGACAAUCCCAGCAACGUGAUUUGCCAACAAGCUUUGGCUAGGUUUGACAGCCUACUACACGAAGGUUCGAGGGCCCAAAUUUUGAACCCAAAUUGCAUUUAUGUGUCCCCCAAGCCAAAUCAUGAGACAAUCGACAGAAAGAUCUUGAAGGGGGAGCAUGGAGGACUAAAACAUCCACCUCCUCAACCUUCAAUAAAAUGUGGUGUCUAUGCCAACUAUUUGUCAUAUUUUUGGGCAAACAACAACUUUACACGAAGAACUCUAGGAAUCAAGAAGGGCACCAUAAAUGAAUGGGUUAGGUGCCACGAACAUGAUCUACCAUACAACAUCGACAUCAGGAGCAGCAUAAAGUAUCAUCGAAAUGUUACACUAAAAGUGGUGACCACGAUGCUGUUGUGCCAUUCCUCGGGACACAAGCCUGGGUGAGAUCACUCAACUACCCAAUUGUGGAUGACUGGAGAGCCUGGCAUAUCGAUGGCCAGUCUGCUGGAUUCACCAUAGCAUAUGGAAACAAUUUGACAUUCGCUACAGUAAAGGGUGCUGGACACACUGCACCAGAGUUUGAGCCGGAGAGGUGCUUUGCAAUGUUUAAGCGUUGGAUUUCCAGCAUACCACUAUGAUGAUGGAUGUGCAUAUCGUGUAACUUGCACAAAUGGAGGAUUGUAGUAUGAAUGUCAUGGGUGAAUAAAAUCAAUUCUUUUUUGGGAAGGCUCAAAACAAGACUAUUUUUUGUAAAUUUGAUUCUUUUUGACGAGACCCCCACUAGGUUCCAGGCGGACCAGAAGUCCUCUCACCUACAAAAAUCGCUCCUUGGGGAUGGUUAAGGGGCCGCAUGCAAAAAUUU
Non-coding RNA from Oryza sativa Japonica Group (Japanese rice), 1737 nucleotides. Lineage: Eukaryota; Viridiplantae; Streptophyta; Magnoliopsida; Poales; Poaceae. The record is from RefSeq and is a predicted model, not a curated record.